GCAGUGGUGAGGAGUCCCACAAUAGGACGAAACGGCCGUCCAGUGC
Molecule: non-coding RNA, 46 nt
Filed under: Schistosoma mansoni
Lineage: Eukaryota; Metazoa; Platyhelminthes; Trematoda; Strigeidida; Schistosomatidae
Source: RNAcentral